RNAcentral lists this ribosomal RNA (253 nucleotides) under uncultured bacterium. RNAcentral's name for it is "partial 16S ribosomal RNA". It matches the Rfam family "Bacterial small subunit ribosomal RNA", at positions 524 to 776 of the family's 1533-position model. The record is from RNAcentral.
UACAGAGGGUGCGAGCGUUAAUCGGAAUUACUGGGCGUAAAGCGCACGUAGUCGGCUUUGCAAGUCGGGUGUGAAAUCCCCGGGCUCAACCUGGGAACUGCAUCCGAGACUGCAUUGCUAGAGUAUGGGAGAGGGAAGCGGAAUUUCUGGUGUAGCAGUGAAAUGCGUAGAUAUCAGAAGGAACAUCAGUGGCGAAGGCGGCGACCUGGGUAGAUACUGACGCUGAGGCGCGAAAGCGUGGGGAGCAAACAGG